RNAcentral lists this ribosomal RNA (480 nucleotides) under uncultured Solobacterium sp. RNAcentral's name for it is "bacterial SSU rRNA". It matches the Rfam family "Bacterial small subunit ribosomal RNA", at positions 907 to 1392 of the family's 1533-position model. The record is from RNAcentral. Lineage: Bacteria; Bacillati; Bacillota; Erysipelotrichia; Erysipelotrichales; Erysipelotrichaceae.
GAAUUGACGGGGGCCCGCACAAGCGGUGGAGUAUGUGGUUUAAUUCGACGCAACGCGAAGAACCUUACCAGGCCUUGACAUCCCUUGCAAAGCUGUAGAGAUACAGUAGAGGUUAUCAAGGUGACAGGUGGUGCAUGGUUGUCGUCAGCUCGUGUCGUGAGAUGUUGGGUUAAGUCCCGCAACGAGCGCAACCCUUGUCUUCAGUUACCAAUAUCAAGUUAGGGACUCUGGAGAGACUGCCGGUGAUAAACCGGAGGAAGGUGGGGAUGACGUCAGAUCAUCAUGCCCCUUAUGGCCUGGGCUACACACGUACUACAAUGGCUGUUACAACGUGGAGCAACACUGCGAAGUGAAGCGAAUCACUGAAAGACAGUCUCAGUUCGGAUUGAAGUCUGCAACCCGACUUCAUGAAGCUGGAAUCGCUAGUAAACGCGGAUCAGCAUGCCGCGGUGAAUACGUUCUCGGGCCUUGUACACACCG